This 1410-nucleotide ribosomal RNA is filed under the name uncultured bacterium. RNAcentral's name for it is "bacterial SSU rRNA". It matches the Rfam family "Bacterial small subunit ribosomal RNA". The record is from RNAcentral.
AGAGUUUGAUCCUGGCUCAGAACGCAUGCUGGUAGCGUGGAUUAGGCAUGCAAGUCGAACGGGAUCCGGCCGACAGCAAUAUUGGCUGGUGAGAGUGGCGGAUUGGGGAGGAACACGUGAACAACCUGCCCUUGAGUUCGGGAAAACCGCUGGAAACGGCGGCUAAUACCGGAUGUGGCGUCGGGCGACAUCGUCCGAGCGCUAAAGGGGGCCGCAAGGCUCCCGCUCCUGGAGGGGUUCGCGCACCAUCAGCUUGUUGGCGGGGUAACGGCCCACCAAGGCGCACGGUUAGCUGGUCUGAGAGGAUGACCAGCCCCACUGGGACUGAGAUACUGCCCAGACUCCUACAGGAGGCUGCAGUCGAGGAUCAUUUGCAAUGGGCGAAAGCCUGACAAUGCGACGCUGCGUGGAGGAUGAAGGCCCUCGGGUUGUAAACUCCUGUCAUAAGGGAACAGGCGAGAGCACCCAACACGUGCUUUAGUUGAGUGUACCUUAAGAGGAAUUGGCGGCUAACUCUGUGCCAGCAGCCGCGGUAAUACAGAGGCCAAGAGCGUUGUUCGGAUUUACUGGGCGUAAAGGGCGCGUAGGCGGUCGCGUGUGUGGGAUGUGAAAUCUCCGGGCUCAACCCGGAAAGUGCGUCCCAAACUGCGCGGCUUCGAGUGUGGGAGGGGGAAUCGGAAUGCAGGGUGUAGCGGUGAAAUGCGUUGAUAUCCUGCAGAACACCGGAGGCGAAGGCGGAUUCCUUGAACACCACUGACGCUGAGGCGCGAAAGUCGGGGGAGCAAACAGGAUUAGAUACCCUGGUAGUCCCGACCUUAAACGGUGCACACGAGAGGUGGGGGGCAGACCCCCCCGUCCGUGAGCUAACGCGUUAAGCGUGCAGCCCGGGGAGUGCGGCCGCAAGGCUAAAACUCAAAGAAAUUGACGGGAGCCCCCACAACCAGAGGAGCAUGUGGCUUAAUUCGAUGCAACGCGAAGAACCUCCCCUGGGCUUGACAUGCGGCUGCGCGGGGGAUGAAAGUCCCCCUCCUUCGAGGGUGCCGCACAGGUGCUGCAUGGCCGUCGUCAGUUCGUGCCGUGAGGUGUUUGGUUAAGUCCACCAACGAACGCAACCCCUAUGACGUGUUGCCAGCGGGUAAUGCCGGGAACUCGCGUCACACUGCUCGUUUACGCGAGAGGAAGGUGGGGAUGACGUCAAGUCAGUAUGCCCCUUACGCCCAGGGCUGCACACGUGCUACAAUGGCAUGUACAGAGCGACGCGAGGCCGCAAGGCGGAGCAAAUCGCACAGAGCAUGCCUCAGUUCAGAUCGGGGUCUGCAACCCGACCCCGUGAAGUCGGAUUUGCUAGUAACGGCGCAUCAGCUACGACGCCGUGAAUGCGUUCCCGGCCCUUGUACUCACCGCCCGUCA